ACCUAAGCAUAUCAAUAAGCGGAGGAAAAGAAACCAACAGGGAUUGCCUUAGUAACGGCGAGUGAAGCGGCAACAGCUCAAAUUUGAAAGCUGGCCCUUUCGGGGUCCGCGUUGUAAUUUGUAGAGGAUGAUUCGGCGAGGGCUCCCUCCUAAGUCCCCUGGAACGGGGCGUCAUAGAGGGUGAGAAUCCCGUAUGCGGUGGGUUGCCUUAGCCAUGUGAAUCUCCUUCGACGAGUCGAGUUGUUUGGGAAUGCAGCUCUAAAUGGGAGGUAAAUUUCUUCUAAAGCUAAAUACCGGCCAGAGACCGAUAGCGCACAAGUAGAGUGAUCGAAAGAUGAAAAGCACUUUGGAAAGAGAGUUAAAAAGUACGUGAAAUUGUUGAAAGGGAAGCGCUUGCAACCAGACUUGUCCGCAGUUGCUCAGCCGGUCUCCUGACCGGCGUACUCUUCUGCGGCCAGGCCAGCAUCAGUUCGGGCGGUCGGAUAAAGGCCUCGGGAAUGUAGCUCCUCUCGGGGAGUGUUAUAGCCCGGGGCGGAAUGCGGCCAGCCUGGACUGAGGAUCUCGCUUCGGCAAGGAUGCUGGCGUAAUGGUUGUAAGCGGCCCGUCUUGAAACACGGACCAAGGAGUCUAACAUCUAUGCGAGUGUUUGGGUGUCAAACCCAUACGCGUAAUGAAAGUGAACGGAGGUGGGAACCCGCAAGGGUGCACCAUCGGCCGAUCCUGAUGUCUUCGGAUGGAUUUGAGCAAGAGCAUAGCUGUUGGGACCCGAAAGAUGGUGAACUAUGCCUGAAUAGGGUGAAGCCAGAGGAAACUCUGGUGGAGGCUCGCAGCGGUUCUGACGUGCAAAUCGAUCGUCAAAUUUGGGUAUAGGGGCGAAAGACUAAUCGAACCAUUAAGAAAGUAGUUUUCGUUUUUU
Molecule: ribosomal RNA, 916 nt
Filed under: Lasiodiplodia crassispora
Lineage: Eukaryota; Fungi; Ascomycota; Dothideomycetes; Botryosphaeriales; Botryosphaeriaceae
Description: eukaryotic LSU rRNA
Rfam family: Eukaryotic large subunit ribosomal RNA
Source: RNAcentral